CGGGGCGUAGCUCAGCCUGGCAGAGCGCCUGGUUUGGGACCAGGAGGUCGCAUGUUCAAAUCAUGUCGCCCCGAC
RNAcentral lists this transfer RNA (75 nucleotides) under Allorhodopirellula solitaria. RNAcentral describes it as "Planctomycetes bacterium CA85 tRNA-Pro". It matches the Rfam family "tRNA". Rfam says of the family: Transfer RNA (tRNA) molecules are approximately 80 nucleotides in length. The record is from RNAcentral. RNAcentral also lists the same sequence under 1 other name. Lineage: Bacteria; Pseudomonadati; Planctomycetota; Planctomycetia; Pirellulales; Pirellulaceae.